AACGCACCUUGCGCCCUUUGGUUACUCCGAAGGGCAUGCCUGUUUGAGAGUCAUUAUUAAUCUCAAACUUCAGAGUUUUUUUGGACUUUGAAGGUUUGGAUAUUGGGGGUUAUGCUGGCAUUUGUUGUUGGCUCCUCUUAAAUGCAUUAGCAGGGAAAAACCAUUCAAGGAUGACCUUGGCUCUGGUUUGAUAAUAUAUCUAUGCCAUUGCUGAGGAAGUCGGAAAGAGUUUUUUCAGCUUCCAACUUGUCUAGAUAGACACUUUUGAAACUUGACCUCAAAUCAGGUAGGACUACCCGCUGAACUUAA
This 309-nucleotide unclassified non-coding RNA is filed under the name uncultured fungus. RNAcentral describes it as "sequence contains ITS2". The record is from RNAcentral. Lineage: Eukaryota; Fungi.